AAGUCGUAACAAGGUUUCCGUAGGCGAACCUGCGGAAGGAUCAUUAUCAUAACGUAUCCACGUAUAAACCAACUUUAAAUUGAUGUGAAACGUAACUGUUUUAACACCUCGAGAUAAUCAGAUGAUUGCUAUACUUUACAUUGUUUGCGUGAUUAAAGCAAAAACGGUUUAGUAUGGACCUGUGCCUGUAACAAGGUGCUAGCGCUGAUUAUUUGGAGUGUAAAAAAUUUAAUCAACUAUUAACCCAUUGAACCGAAUUACUAUAUUCUUAACUGAGUUUAGUUAUUCAUUUUAAUUUCUAUUGUGUGAACUGAAUUGUCUACUUACUUGACACCGUCAUUGGUGGAGAGAAGUCGAUUAUAUUUACGAAACAUUAUAAAUUUCUAUGAACAACUCUUAGCAACGGAUAUCUUGGUUCUC
RNAcentral lists this unclassified non-coding RNA (420 nucleotides) under fungal sp. Its description in RNAcentral is "partial internal transcribed spacer region". The stretch from base 1 to 46 matches the Rfam family "Eukaryotic small subunit ribosomal RNA", at positions 1786 to 1831 of the family's 1831-position model. Lineage: Eukaryota; Fungi. The record is from RNAcentral.